AUAUAUAUAUAUCGACUUUCACUAUAUAUAUAUCAACUUUCAUUAUAUAUAUAUCAAGUUUCAUUAUAUAUAUAUAUCAACUUUCAUUAUAUAUAUAUCAAGUUUCAUUAUAUAUAUAUCGACUUUCAUUAUAUAUAUAUAUCAACUUUCAUUAUAUAUAUAUCAAAUCUUUUUUUCCUACCGAGCCCCGGAAGGGACAUGUCCGUAUGGCGAAGCGACAACGAAGGACACUCACCCGGACGAGAAUUUUAUUGAGUUUUAUUUUAAAAUCGGCCUGAAACACACAGACAUUCAAGCAGUGCGAUGCGCUAAGAGUCUGCCAUGCAGACCAGCGAUCCUGAUAAUGUUGUCGGCCUUGGAUGAUGAGGUCCAGUUACCAGGAGCACUAGUCUGCAGCUUACUGGUUCCGUCUUGCAGCUCCUCCACGCUGUCCUCCUCUCUACAGACCAAAUCAAGAAAAGGGAACCAGGAAGCUGCUGUGGAUCCUCUGCAGUAUCUGGAGAGGUCAGAGGAACGGUUCUUGGAACAGAUCGGAAGACACCAAGACGUGACCUCUGCCAUGCUCCAGAACAUCCAGAAGAUGAAUGAAAACCUUGGUUGCACUGAUGGGACGCAUGGUGUCGGUGCUGGAGCAACUGUCCCAGAAUUAAACUGCAUUGUUGACUAUUGGCUUUUCUAGAAAAUAAAUCUUUUUUAGUACUUCA
This is a long non-coding RNA of Acanthochromis polyacanthus (spiny chromis), 704 nucleotides long. RefSeq lists it as uncharacterized. The record is from RefSeq and is a predicted model, not a curated record. The transcript has 3 exons. NCBI's taxonomy places the organism in Eukaryota, Metazoa, Chordata, Actinopteri, Pomacentridae.